CAACCCUCAGGGCCCCUUCAGGGGGCGCUGGUGUUGGGGACCGGCUGCCCGCAACGGCACCCGGCCCUGAAAUACAGUGGCGGCCCCAUCGCGAGCUCCCCUGCGCAGUAGUGAUACCUCGCAGCCGGACGGCGGUGCGGCCACGCCGUGAAACCCCUACUUCUCAAGG
RNAcentral lists this unclassified non-coding RNA (169 nucleotides) under uncultured Beauveria. Its description in RNAcentral is "sequence contains ITS2". Lineage: Eukaryota; Fungi; Ascomycota; Sordariomycetes; Hypocreales; Cordycipitaceae. The record is from RNAcentral.